Molecule: ribosomal RNA, 492 nt
Filed under: uncultured bacterium
Lineage: Bacteria
Description: partial 16S ribosomal RNA
Rfam family: Bacterial small subunit ribosomal RNA
Source: RNAcentral
AGUGAACGCUGGCGGUGGGCCUAACACAUGCAAGUCGAACGGCAGCACAGUAAGAGCUUGCUCUUACGGGUGGCGAGUGGCGGACGGGUGAGGAAUACAUCGGAAUCUACUUUUUCGUGGGGGAUAACGUAGGGAAACUUACGCUAAUACCGCAUACGACCUACGGGUGAAAGCAGGGGAUCUUCGGACCUUGCGCGAUUGAAUGAGCCGAUGUCGGAUUAGCUAGUUGGCGGGGUAAAGGCCCACCAAGGUGACGAUCCGUAGCUGGUCUGAGAGGAUGAUCAGCCACACUGGAACUGAGACACGGUCCAGACUCCUACGGGAGGCAGCAGUGGGGAAUAUUGGACAAUGGGCGCAAGCCUGAUCCAGCCAUACCGCGUGGGUGAAGAAGGCCUUCGGGUUGUAAAGCCCUUUUGUUGGGAAAGAAAAGCAGCAGGUUAAUACCCCGCUGUUCUGACGGUACCCAAAGAAUAAGCACCGGCUAACUUCGUG